Molecule: non-coding RNA, 490 nt
Organism: Jatropha curcas
Lineage: Eukaryota; Viridiplantae; Streptophyta; Magnoliopsida; Malpighiales; Euphorbiaceae
Source: RefSeq, a predicted model, not a curated record
GGAAAGCAUGUAAUUGGCUUAUCUACACAAUAUACACCUUCUAAACCCUCUGAUGUGAGCUGGGAAGAUCCUAAUUACUGGGAGGGAAUAUUUUUCAUGGUGCCAUGAGUUUGGAUGCACUUUUCUUGACACGACCCGUCAAACAAUGGUCAGGUUACCGAACUCCAAUGAAAGGACUAUAUAUGUGUGGCAGCGGAUCACAUCCAGGAGGCGGAGUGACGGACGCACCUUGCCAUAAUGCUGCACAAGUUGUGCUUUGUGAUAUUAAAGAGAGCUUCUUUCUAGCAACUCUUUGAGUUCUGCUCUGCUGAUUUAUGUUGCUGUCAUAUUCCAUGUUGCACGAAAACUCUAUUUAAGUUGCACCUUAUUUAACUUCUUAAGGAUAGGAAUUUACUAUUUUUUUUUUUUUUACUAUUCGACACCCGAAAUCAACUGGUCCGAUUAAUGCAGAUUCUCAUUCGAUGGGGUCUAUGAAAAGACGUAAAACGUU